AGUGAACGCUGGCGGUAGGCCUAACACAUGCAAGUCGAACGGCAGCACAGUAAGAGCUUGCUCUUACGGGUGGCGAGUGGCGGACGGGUGAGGAAUACAUCGGAAUCUACUUUUUCGUGGGGGUUAACGUAGGGAAACUUACGCUAAUACCGCAUACGACCUACGGGUGAAAGCAGGGGAUCUUCGGACCUUGCGCGAUUGAAUGGGCCGAUGUCGGAUUAGCUAGUUGGCGGGGUAAAGGCCCACCAAGGCGACGAUCCGUAGCUGGUCUGAGAGGAUGAUCAGCCACACUGGAACUGAGACACGGUCCAGACUCCUACGGGAGGCAGCAGUGGGGAAUAUUGGACAAUGGGCGCAAGCCUGAUCCAGCCAUACCGCGUGGGUGAAGAAGGCCUUCGGGUUGUAAAGCCCUUUUGUUGGGAAAGAAAAGCAGCAGGUUAAUACCCCGCUGUUCUGACGGUACCCAAAGAAUAAGCACCGGCUAACUUCGUG
This 492-nucleotide ribosomal RNA is filed under the name uncultured bacterium. RNAcentral's name for it is "partial 16S ribosomal RNA". It matches the Rfam family "Bacterial small subunit ribosomal RNA", at positions 29 to 507 of the family's 1533-position model. The record is from RNAcentral.